GUGGGGAAUAUUGGACAAUGGGCGGAAGCCUGAUCCAGCCAUGCCGCGUGUGUGAAGAAGGCCUUUUGGUUGUAAAGCACUUUAAGCGAGGAGGAGGCUCUUAAGGUUAAUACCCUUGAUGAGUGGACGUUACUCGCAGAAUAAGCACCGGCUAACUCUGUGCCAGCAGCCGCGGUAAUACAGAGGGUGCGAGCGUUAAUCGGAUUUACUGGGCGUAAAGCGUGCGUAGGCGGCUGAUUAAGUCGGAUGUGAAAUCCCUGAGCUUAACUUAGGAAUUGCAUUCGAUACUGGUCAGCUAGAGUAUGGGAGAGGAUGGUAGAAUUCCAGGUGUAGCGGUGAAAUGCGUAGAGAUCUGGAGGAAUACCGAUGGCGAAGGCAGACAUCUGGCCUAAUACUGACACUGAGGUGCGAAAGCAUGGGGAGCAAACAGGAUUAGAAACCCCAGUAGUCC
This 451-nucleotide ribosomal RNA is filed under the name uncultured bacterium. RNAcentral's name for it is "partial 16S ribosomal RNA". It matches the Rfam family "Bacterial small subunit ribosomal RNA", at positions 354 to 796 of the family's 1533-position model. The record is from RNAcentral.